This 253-nucleotide ribosomal RNA is filed under the name uncultured bacterium. RNAcentral's name for it is "partial 16S ribosomal RNA". It matches the Rfam family "Bacterial small subunit ribosomal RNA", at positions 524 to 776 of the family's 1533-position model. The record is from RNAcentral.
GACAGAGGGUGCAAACGUUGUUCGGAAUUACUGGGCGUAAAGCGCACGUAGGCGGGUUGUUAAGUCAGGGGUGAAAUCCUGGAGCUCAACUCCAGAACUGCCUUUGAUACUGGCAACCUAGAGACUGGAAGAGGUUAGUGGAAUUCCCAGUGUAGAGGUGAAAUUCGUAGAUAUUGGGAAGAACACCAGUGGCGAAGGCGGCUAACUGGUCCAGCACUGACGCUGAGGUGCGAAAGCGUGGGGAGCAAACAGG